Molecule: transfer RNA, 690 nt
Filed under: Bartonella grahamii
Lineage: Bacteria; Pseudomonadati; Pseudomonadota; Alphaproteobacteria; Hyphomicrobiales; Bartonellaceae
Description: partial 16S-23S ribosomal RNA intergenic spacer
Rfam family: tRNA (bases 165-238)
Source: RNAcentral
GUUUUUUCAAAGAAAAACAUGCAUUUCAAGGCGCUAUGGAUUUCAAAGACCAUGGAUUUACUCAGAACUUAUGGGUUUUAAAAAAGGCUUUAAAAGGAAAUAACUAAAAAACUUUUCCAGUAAUUUAAGAUGAUACCGGGGAAGGUUUUCCGGUUUAUCCCGGAGGGCUUGUAGCUCAGUUGGUUAGAGCGCGCGCUUGAUAAGCGUGAGGUCGGAGGUUCAAGUCCUCCCAGGCCCACCAAUUUAUGCUCGUUUUUUGCUUAUCCAAGAGUAUAAAGCUUAAGCGUAUUAAAGCCUCUUCAAUCUUUGUUUAUUUUUAAAGAUUUUAUUUUAUCAUUCAGAGAUUGUUUGUUAAAUUUAUCCCAUUAAGCUUCCAAAGAGGCUUUGUCCCUUCAGUGGUACAGAUAAAUUUACAUGAUACAAAUCAAAACAGGACAGGUAAUUCAAGUUGAUGAAUUUGGUUAUGGUUGAUUUGAGAGAGCAUUAUUUAGGGGCCGUAGCUCAGCUGGGAGAGCACCUGCUUUGCAAGCAGGGGGUCGUCGGUUCGAUCCCGUCCGGCUCCACCAUUUGGUCAUCAUCGUGUUGUGAGAACACGGUUUAGUAAGGGGGGUUAUACCCUUUUGCUUGUUCUAUUGAAAUUGUGAAGAGAAGAUAUAUUCAGACAUGUUCCUUUUUUAAGGUUCCUUCUGA